This 88-nucleotide transfer RNA is filed under the name Sandaracinus sp. Its description in RNAcentral is "tRNA-Ser". It matches the Rfam family "tRNA". Rfam says of the family: Transfer RNA (tRNA) molecules are approximately 80 nucleotides in length. The record is from RNAcentral. Lineage: Bacteria; Pseudomonadati; Myxococcota; Polyangiales; Sandaracinaceae.
GGAGGGGUGACCGAGCGGUCGAAGGUGCACGAUUGGAAAUCGUGUGUGCGGCAACGUACCGAGGGUUCGAAUCCCUCCUCCUCCGCCC